UACGUAGGGCGCAAGCGUUAAUCGGAUUUAUUGGGCGUAAAGGGUGCGUAGGCGGUUAUUUAAGUUAGAUGUGAAAUUCCCGGGCUUACCCCGGGACCGGCAUUUAAUACUGGAUGACUAGAGGUUAGGAGGGGAGAACGGAAUUCCACAAGUAGCGGUGAAAUGCGUAGAUAUGUGGAAGAACACCGGUGGCGAAGGCGGUUCUCUAGCCUAAAACUGACGCUGAGGCACGAAAGCAAGGGGAGCAAACAGG
This 253-nucleotide ribosomal RNA is filed under the name uncultured bacterium. Its description in RNAcentral is "partial 16S ribosomal RNA". It matches the Rfam family "Bacterial small subunit ribosomal RNA", at positions 524 to 776 of the family's 1533-position model. The record is from RNAcentral.